AUUGAACGCUGGCGGCAGGCUUAACACAUGCAAGUCGAGCGGGGGAAGGUAGCUUGCUACUGGACCUAGCGGCGGACGGGUGAGUAAUGCUUAGGAAUCUGCCUAUUAGUGGGGCACAACAUCCCGAAAGGGAUGCUAAUACCGCAUACGUCCUACGGGAGAAAGCAGGGGAUCUUCGGACCUUGCGCUAAUAGAUGAGCCUAAGUCGGAUUAGCUAGUUGGUGGGGUAAAGGCCUACCAAGGCGACGAUCUGUAGCGGGUCUGAGAUGAUGAUCCGCCACACUGGGACUGAGACACGGCCCAGACUCCUACGGGAGGCAGCAGUGGGGAAUAUUGGACAAUGGGGGGAACCCUGAUCCAGCCAUGCCGCGUGUGUGAAGAAGGCCUUAUGGUUGUAAAGCACUUUAAGCGAGGAGGAGGCUACUCUAGUUAAUACCUAGGGAUAGUGGACGUUACUCGCAGAAUAAGCACCGGCUAACUCUGUGCCAGCCGCCGCGGUAA
RNAcentral lists this ribosomal RNA (501 nucleotides) under uncultured bacterium. RNAcentral's name for it is "partial 16S ribosomal RNA". It matches the Rfam family "Bacterial small subunit ribosomal RNA", at positions 30 to 523 of the family's 1533-position model. The record is from RNAcentral.